This is a long non-coding RNA of Drosophila mojavensis, 448 nucleotides long. RefSeq lists it as uncharacterized. The record is from RefSeq and is a predicted model, not a curated record. Lineage: Eukaryota; Metazoa; Arthropoda; Insecta; Diptera; Drosophilidae. The transcript is spliced from 2 exons.
UAUAUAUAGCUUAAGAGCCGCUGAUAAGUCAAGUGUUUUACUCAAUGAAGUCGACAGACAGCGACGAUGAAGAAAGCCGACUAUCAUUGUUGUUUUCACUGAUAAGCACACAAUGUUAUCACAGCAACAGCAACAACUACAACAACGACACACAAACAAGGGCCAAGAACAACUGUUGCCUCUCUCCUACUGUCUGGGUACGUGCAAACAAAAUUUGGUUGCAUUGGAGCUUAUGAUUAAGGGAGAUAAAGCAAUGUGGAGGUCACCUGGCAAAUGGAUAAAGAGGGGGACGCGAUAGCUUUCGAGAUGCGCAUACCAAUGAGAGUCGUCCAACCCAUAAAUAUCUAUUUUCACUCACUCAUUUUUCCAUCUACAAGUUUUCGUAUUUAAACAUGCAAUAGCUGAUCCGUAAUUUUUAUCACGUAAAUAAAUUUCAUUUCAACUGUUA